GGUUUUUAUAAAUCACCGCCAAAGUGCUUUGUUUUAUGGUGCAAGAAAUCUUCAGCCUUGAUAUGAACACCGAAACCUGUGUUGGCCUCCAUAAGUGAUUAAGGAAACUGCUCCUGCAUACAAAACCCAGGAAUGAGACCUCUGAAGCCAGGAUUCCAGUAAACAACUUGUACAUUCACUGAGCUCCUUGUACAAAAUCCAGUGAGACACAGAUGCUUGAAAUACAGCUUUUGAUAGAACCAUCAAUCAAACUACUUCAAUGGGUAGCAGAUGAAAAAGCUGUGCUGGGCCACCACAAAGACCUGACUGAGUAACAUGCUGAGGAGCCAAUCGCUGUUACAAAGAUGCUAGCUGCACCCCCAGAGGAGGAAACUUGGCAGAGUGAAGGGGCCAGGAGCCAAUCAUAAACUACUAGUAGCACUACAAGGCACAGGAUGGCUCAUUAACAUGGGACUUCUGUCUUUCUCAUUUCUAUGCUCUGUUCCUAUUGUGCUCCUAUAAGCAUGUAUAAACACUGGAUCAAAA
Hyla sarda is the source of this 525-nucleotide long non-coding RNA. RefSeq lists it as uncharacterized. Lineage: Eukaryota; Metazoa; Chordata; Amphibia; Anura; Hylidae. The transcript is spliced from 3 exons. The record is from RefSeq and is a predicted model, not a curated record.